Leptonychotes weddellii (Weddell seal) is the source of this 2027-nucleotide non-coding RNA. Lineage: Eukaryota; Metazoa; Chordata; Mammalia; Carnivora; Phocidae. The record is from RefSeq and is a predicted model, not a curated record.
GCCACAAUGAGAUCAUAGGAGUCUGCCGCGUGGGGAUCAACGCUGAAGGCCUGGGCCGGGACCACUGGAACGAGAUGCUGGCGUACCCACGGAAGCCCAUCGCACACUGGCACUCCUUGGUGGAGGUAAAGAAAUCCUUCAAAGAGGGAAACCCUCGGUUGUGAUUUCAUUCACGUGGACGCUGCACGCAGAGAGACUGCCACCUGGAGUUAGGAUGGCAGGGCCGGGCUGCCAGCUUUGACAGCGAGAGCUCGUGCCCGUCUCCGAAACCACCUCCCACACCAUGAGCCGCGCGGCCGGGCGCCACCAACGGGACUCAGCGAUGUUCUUUUUGCACUCGUCCCACCGUCCAAACAGUGUUGCGCAGGGGCAGCGGUGGCCGUAGCACGAGUCUUAACCGCUCCUGUGUAGGUCAAGGCCAAGACCCUUGUCGUGUGGCCAGACCUGUCUUAGUCUUUCUUGUCUCCCAAGGUGAUGUUUUCUGUGGUUUUCACUUUUUAUGGAUCGGCUGCCAAGAAGGGAAGGGGGGAAGAGUAGGAGAGAAAGAAGAGUGGAGAGCCCAGAAGCUGGUUCAUAUGAAAUACAAUGUAAAAUAGUUGUCUUUCCCGGGGGACGUGGUUUGAGUUCCUGCAGUGUUGUGUCCCCACCAAGCUCCACAAGCCUGUAGAAGAAGGACAUGGGAUGGAGCCAUGGCUGCGUCUGCAGUGGCCUGCAGAAAGAUGCAAAUCGGGCCAAGAGCCUUUACAAGGCGCGCUGUGACCCUCGGAAGCUCUUCGCCGCUGUGACACAGACCGAAGUGUAGGCUCCUGGUCCUACGGUGAAAUCACGAGUGCUCCGAGGUAUCCUCGCACCUUCCGCAGGUCGUGCAGGGCUCCUCCCCGCCCCCCUUUCCUUGUUGACUUUCCUCAUCAUCUGAAAAUGUCUUGAUCCCUCGUGGGAACUUAGUCCCUUUCUUUAGGAAUGGUUCUGCUGAAACUAAACAUGCUGUAUGUUUUCUGGCACACCACAGUUAACGACCACAUUUGUUUGAAUACGGGAUCUUUGUUCUCAAAAAUAACCUUCGUUGUAAAGAAGAGAAGGCACACGUGUUCCAGAAUGACUUCGGUGUUAUGCGUAGCUUUAUUAAUCCCAUGAAGUAUCAAGCAACUGUUGAAAAUGCCUAAUUAGGUCAAAGAAACACCUAGAUAAAACGUUCUUUGGGGAAUGGGGAGUUUUAAUCCAAGUCAUAGCUGGAAUCCAUCUUUCCGUGACGAGAAUCUUCUUGAUUGAAACAAAGUCAGCUUAAGCCUAUUUCAGCCCCCCUGACUCUGGGACAAUAUCCAUCUUAAACUUUAGUUCUAUAGAUUACUAAGUACUUCAGUGUUUGUUUCAGUGGUAGUGAAGGUUUUUUGGGGUUUUUUCCCUUUAGAUCUCUACCUUAGGCCAAAUUCAGUUUAGGAAAAAAACAUGUUUCAACUCUUCUGUAUUGUAAUAGUAUGUUUCUGUUGAGUUCAUAUUGGUCUUCCCACCAACCACCUAUAACUCAGUUGAUUUGCUCAAUCUCAGUCUGUAUAGCCCUGGUAAAUUCGUGGAGGUGAGUUUCUACUUUAUCUGUGACUACACAAUGCCAACUUCCAGAGUUGUGUGUGUGACUUGCAAGAGGCAAGUCUGCUGAAGAACACCUUCUUCCACCAAUGGAAGGUCAAGAAGGGAAAAGCUAUUCACACACCUUGUGUCUUACUCUUUAUAUAUGUCACAUGCUUCAGGAGCAGAAACUCAAUAAAGUAACCCUCACCUUAAGCCAAGUUAUCAGGUUUCUCUGCUGAUAUAACUUUAGGCAGUGUCUUCUACCCAAAGUUCAGAUGGGCAUGAGGAUGACCAGGAUAUUGUGGCCAGAGAUGUUUUCAGCUUAGAAAAGUAAGGGCAGAUAAACCAAACUCCACUCGGUACUGAGCCUUAGGCUAGGAGCUAAUGUGUCAUUGGUAUAAAGAUAAGUUUUCUCUCCAAAUGUCUUACGAUUGAUAGGCCAUCCUAGUCAGGCAGUACUG